This 85-nucleotide transfer RNA is filed under the name bacterium. RNAcentral describes it as "tRNA-Leu". It matches the Rfam family "tRNA". From Rfam's summary of the family: Transfer RNA (tRNA) molecules are approximately 80 nucleotides in length. Their secondary structure includes four short double-helical elements and three loops (D, anti-codon, and T loops). The record is from RNAcentral. RNAcentral also lists the same sequence under 1 other name.
GCCCAGAUGGUGGAAUUGGUAGACACGCGGGACUUAAAAUCCCGUUUCCUCGGAAGUGCGGGUUCGAUUCCCGCUCUGGGCACCA